This is a long non-coding RNA of Apis dorsata (giant honeybee), 227 nucleotides long. RefSeq lists it as uncharacterized. The transcript has 2 exons. Lineage: Eukaryota; Metazoa; Arthropoda; Insecta; Hymenoptera; Apidae. The record is from RefSeq and is a predicted model, not a curated record.
UGAAAUUAUGAUCUUUCGACUGUAAUGGAGUUUUAGAGAAGAUUGAACAAUACUUAAUAUUUGUGGAAAAAUUAACUCAGCGGGGUCCAAUGGGAACAAUGGGGACGGUUCGAGUGUCGUCUCGUCUCGAGGGAAAAGAGUGGAAAGAGUGGAAAAGUAGGAUGAAAACCUGCAGCCUCGGCAACGGUCUUGAUUCCUUGGCCGCCAUUUCUAAGUGGCAUCCAGAG